CCUACGGGAGGCAGCAGUAGGGAAUUUUCGUCAAUGGGGGAAACCCUGAACGAGCAAUGCCGCGUGAGUGAAGAAGGCCUUCGGGUCGUAAAGCUCUGUUGUAAGAGAAAAACGGUAAUGAUAGGAAAUGAUCAUUAAGUGAUGGUAUCUUACGAGGAAGCCACGGCUAACUACGUGCCAGCAGCCGCGGUAAU
RNAcentral lists this ribosomal RNA (194 nucleotides) under uncultured bacterium. Its description in RNAcentral is "partial 16S ribosomal RNA". It matches the Rfam family "Bacterial small subunit ribosomal RNA", at positions 338 to 524 of the family's 1533-position model. The record is from RNAcentral.